Molecule: unclassified non-coding RNA, 603 nt
Filed under: Hevea brasiliensis (rubber tree)
Lineage: Eukaryota; Viridiplantae; Streptophyta; Magnoliopsida; Malpighiales; Euphorbiaceae
Source: RNAcentral
GAGAGAGAGAGAGAGAGAGUAAAUGAAAUCAGGAACCACAAAUCAUACUUUCUAUAAGAAACUCGAUAAUAAUAAUUGAUUUUCAUAACUCUCUUACACAACAAAGAAGAAAAAGAAUGCUGAACCGUCAAAACCAAAACAAAUUCAAUCAACAAACCCAAAUGAAACAUAGACUAAAUCACAACAUAACAAAAGGCAAGAACACACCUGAAAAACGUAUAAAAAAAUUUAACAAAUUAUUAAAGCAAGAAACACAAAAUCCAGCCAGAGUUAAAUAAAAUAAAGAAAAAUCCAAAACAUGAGAUCCAAGCCAGCAUAAUAAGAACUGAAAAUUACCAAGAGAUGAGCUAACAUAACACAAACCCAAUUCUAAACAUUACAUAGAAGUAAUACUAAAAACAAAAAAGAACAUAUAUACAAAACCAAAGAAAAACUGUAAUCACCAGAAAUAACGUUUCAGUGGCACCAAACCUACUCAAUCCAACUACUAUCGUCCUCAAAGCAUCCAUACCAUACCAUUGUGUCAAAUCAAAUAGGCAAAAACUGAUUUGAAGAAGCAAAACAGUACAACAACUUCAAGAAGCAAAACAGUACAACAACUUC